AACGAACGCUGGCGGCAGGCUUAACACAUGCAAGUCGAACGCCCCGCAAGGGGAGUGGCAGACGGGUGAGUAACGCGUGGGAACGUACCUUUCAGUUCGGAAUAACUCAGGGAAACUUGUGCUAAUACCGGAUACGCCCGCAAGGGAAAAGAUUUAUCGCUGAAAGAUCGGCCCGCGUUGGAUUAGCUAGUUGGUGGGGUAAAGGCCUACCAAGGCGACGAUCCAUAGCUGGUCUGAGAGGAUGAUCAGCCACACUGGGACUGAGACACGGCCCAGACUCCUACGGGAGGCAGCAGUGGGGAAUAUUGGACAAUGGGCGCAAGCCUGAUCCAGCCAUGCCGCGUGUGUGAUGAAGGCCUUAGGGUUGUAAAGCACUUUCACCGAUGAAGAUAAUGACGGUAGUCGGAGAAGAAGCCCCGGCUAACUUCGUGCCAGCAGCCGCGGUAAUGUACAG
Molecule: ribosomal RNA, 454 nt
Filed under: uncultured bacterium
Lineage: Bacteria
Description: bacterial SSU rRNA
Rfam family: Bacterial small subunit ribosomal RNA
Source: RNAcentral